AAAGAUUAAGCCAUGCAUGUCUAAGUAUAAGCAAUUAUACGGCGAAACUGCGAAUGGCUCAUUAUAUAAGUUAUCGUUUAUUUGAUAGUACCUUACUACUUGGAUAACCGUGGUAAUUCUAGAGCUAAUACAUGCUUAAAAUCCCGACUUCGGAAGGGAUGUAUUUAUUAGAUUAAAAACCAAUGCCCUUCGGGGCUCUCUGGUGAUUCAUGAUAACUUCUCGAAUCGCAUGGCCUUGCGCCGGCGAUGGUUCAUUCAAAUUUCUUCCCUAUCAACUUUCGAUGCUACGGUAUUGUCCUAGCAUGGUUG
Molecule: ribosomal RNA, 309 nt
Filed under: uncultured fungus
Lineage: Eukaryota; Fungi
Description: SSU rRNA
Rfam family: Eukaryotic small subunit ribosomal RNA
Source: RNAcentral